AUUGAACGCUGGCGGCAGGCCUAACACAUGCAAGUCGAGCGGAUGAUGGGAGCUUGCUCCUGGAUUCAGCGGCGGACGGUUGAGUAAUGCCUAGGAAUCUUCCCGCGAGUGGGGGAUAACGCCUGCAAACGGGUGCUAAUACCGCAUACGUCCUGAUGCAGCAUGUGGCGGCUCUUCGGCCCUCUCGCUAUCAGAUGACUCUAGUUCGGAUUAGAUAGUUGGGGUGGUAAAGGCCUACCAAGGCGAGGACCCGUAACUGGUCUGAGAGGCUGAUCAGUCACACUGGAACUGAGACACGGUCCACACUCCUACGGGAGGCAGCAGUGGGGAAUAUUGGGGGAUGGACGAGAGGCUAAUCCAGCCAUGCCGCGUGUGUGAAGAAGGUCUUCGGAUUGUAGAGCACAUUAAGUUGGGAGGAAGGACAGUAAGUUAAUACCUUGCUGUUUUGACGUUACCAACAGAAUAAGCACCGGCUAACUUCGUG
Molecule: ribosomal RNA, 484 nt
Filed under: uncultured bacterium
Lineage: Bacteria
Description: partial 16S ribosomal RNA
Rfam family: Bacterial small subunit ribosomal RNA
Source: RNAcentral